Molecule: ribosomal RNA, 1662 nt
Filed under: Triticum aestivum (bread wheat)
Lineage: Eukaryota; Viridiplantae; Streptophyta; Magnoliopsida; Poales; Poaceae
Description: partial small subunit ribosomal RNA
Source: RNAcentral
AUGGAUGAGGACAAGGACAAGGAAUAUGAGGAGCAGAAUCUGUUUGUGGUUCCGCCAUUGCAAGCGGGUGCUGAUAUGUCGGAUGAUGAUACAUCAGAGGGGUAUAAGGAAUCAGCAGAUGAACUGGAAGGUGACACUAUGUCCGAGGAAUCACUUGUGCAUGUUGUCUCUAGUGAGGAGGAGGCAAGAGAAAGGAAAAGGAAAAAGAACAAGAGGCCAAGAGCCAAUGCUCCCGUUAGGACGUCAUCCAAUGUUUGGGCCCAUUUUCACAAGGUCAAGGAGCCAGAUGAGAAGACUGGAGAGAUUGUGUUGAAGGCUGUUUGUAAUUAUUGUAUUGAUAAGAAGUAUGCGUAUACGCAAGGUGGCAGCACCUCAACUAUUGGAAGGCAUCAUUUAAAAUGUAAGAAUUACAAGGCCAAGAUGGCUAGGGAUGCCAUCCAAACAACUCUGGAAUUGCGCAAAAUCAAUGGUACAGGAAGUGGUCCAACAAUGCACCCCUCUAUUGAGUAUGACCAAGGAAUUGUGAAGGAGCUUAUUGCUAAGAUGAUAUGUGUGCAUGAGUAUUCAUUUAGAAUGGUUGAACAUGAGUGGUUCAACAUUCUAAUGAAGUGCAUGAAUCCAAAUUAUAAACCCAUUGAAAGGAAGGCAAUACGAGCCGAGUGCAUGAGGGUCUACAAGAAAGAAAAAGAGGUGCUUAAAUCUGUCCUAAAGGGUGUGAGCUCCAUAUGUCUAACUACAGAUUUGUGGACAAGCAACCAAACCUUAUCUUACAUGUGUGUGGUUGCACACUACAUAGAUGGGAAUUGGAAUAUGCAAACCCGUGUUCUUGCUUUCAUAGAGUUGGACCCUCCUCACUCUGGAAAUGUCAUUGCAGAUGCUCUCUAUGCUUGUGUGACAGAAUGGAAUAUUGAGACCAAAAUAAUGUCCGUCACACUUGACAACGCUUCAAACAAUGAUGGUGCAGUCGAUGCUUUGAAGGCCAAGUUCUCGUUUCGGAGAGGUAAUGACUUCGAAAGACAGUAUUUUCAUAUCCGUUGUUGUGCACACAUCCUCAACUUGGUCGUGCAAGAUGGGACGGAGGUCUUAGAUAAUUUGAUAAACAGCUUGAGAGAGACGGUGAAGUACUUCAAGAGUUCACCUUCUCGUCUCCAUGCUUUUGUUGCCACUUGCAAAAGCUUGGGUGUCAAAGUUGGUAAUCAUUUACACCUGGAUUGUAAAACAAGGUGGAGUUCAACCUAUAAGAUGAUUAGCACUGCCCGUGAUUAUAAGGAAGCCUUGACCUCUCAUGCUGGUUCCAAUGCCAACUAUGCUUGGGCGCCGACAAACGCAGAGUGGGACAUGUAUGACCUUAUCUCUCCAUUACUUGAGAGUUUGGCUGAGGUGACAAAUGCAUUUUCAGGAAGUUUAUAUCCCACUUCGAACAUCUUCUAUCCAUACAUUGUUGGUGUCAAGCUUGCAAUCAAACGUGCAAUGACUAGUGAUAGUGACCACUACAAGGAAAUGGGUGAAGCAAUGUUGGAGAAGUUUGACAAAUAUUGGGAAGAAAAGAACAAUGCCAUGGUGAUCGCAACCGUCUUUGAUCCACGGUACAAGAUGAAUUACAUAGAGUGGGCCUUUGGAGAACUAUAUGGAGUAGAAGUACGAGGUGUAGGACUGAGAUGA